CCUACGGGAGGCUGCAGUGAGGAAUAUUGGUCAAUGGGCUUACGCCUGAACCAGCCAAGUCGCGUGAGGGAAGACUGCCCUAUGGGUUGUAAACCUCUUUUGUCAGGGAGAAACGCCGGCUACGUGUAGCCGGACUGAGAGUACCUGAAGAAAAAGCAUCGGCUAACUCCGUGCCAGCAGCAGCGGUAAUACGGAAGGUCCGGGCGUUAUCCGGAUUGAUUGGGUUUAAAGGGAGCGUAGGCCGGUCUUUAAGCGUGCCGGGAAAUUUUGUGGCUCAACCAUGAGAGUGGGGCGGGACCUGGAGACCUUGAGUGCGCGGAAGGCAGGCAGAAUUCGUGGUGUAGCGGUGAAAUGCUUAGAUAGCACGAAGAACCCCGAUUGCGAAGGCAGCCUGCCGCAGCGUUACUGACGCUGAAGCUCGAAAGCGCGGGUAUCGAACAGGAUUAGAUACCCCAGUAGUC
Molecule: ribosomal RNA, 461 nt
Filed under: uncultured bacterium
Lineage: Bacteria
Description: partial 16S ribosomal RNA
Rfam family: Bacterial small subunit ribosomal RNA
Source: RNAcentral